Long non-coding RNA from Gossypium arboreum, 1009 nucleotides. RefSeq lists it as uncharacterized. The transcript is spliced from 2 exons. NCBI's taxonomy places the organism in Eukaryota, Viridiplantae, Streptophyta, Magnoliopsida, Malvales, Malvaceae. The record is from RefSeq and is a predicted model, not a curated record.
AACACUCCGAAAACAACAACAAACAGAAAUUAAAUCCAACCCAGUUUUCUAGACUGCUUUAUCAUCUAGAAAAAUCUACAAGCCAAAUGUAUAUGAGAAAACAAAUUUCAAGGGGUAAAAACCUUUCAUUUCCUAGACUACUUUAGAACUUUGCUUCCCCUUUCAUUCUCAACUAUCUCAACUAUGGCUUUUUAAUAGAGGCCUCUAUCCGUCGUGACUGUCAAGACUAUAUCUUUAGACAUUCGUGUCGAGAUCGUGUCCAACCUCUUUUUUUUUAACGUAUUUCAACGAGUCCUGUACGUAUUCGAGCGUGUCCAAUGAGUGUUCAUGCCGGACACACGUACAACACUAGUGCGAUGAGGGAUGAGUCAUGUUUGUGCUUCCUAGCUUCCAACAUACUUUAUGUCGUGUUCCUUUCUACCAAAGACUGUGCUCAGAUUUAGAAAAGACUAUGAAUCAAUUUUUGUGGCAGAAAAGCUCGAGUCAGAAAGGAAUGCAUUGGAGUAAAUGAGCCGAUUUGUGUUUGCCAAAAGAGAGUGGAGCAUAUAUGCGACACGAAAAUUGCUGGAAGACGGGAUUGGUUGGCGAGUGGGAUCUGGCACCCCAAUUUCAAUUUGGAGAGAGAAAUGGCUUCCGUGAUGGGCUCGUGGACAAAUUCGACAAACAAGAGUUAACGAGAAUAUAGAAAGGGUGGCGGAUUUGACAGAUCACUCGUCUAAAAGUUGGAAGGAAGGGCUCAUUACCAGUGUUUUUACUCUUAAGGAAGCUGCAACCAUUCGGUGUAUUCCCUUAUCCAGAAGAGUUGAUGUUGACAAGAUUGUUUAGAGGGGUGAGAAUACUCUGUCCGGAGCGGGUAUCGAACUCUAAUCAGCGACCAGAUUACAGUGGACGACAUACAUGAGAGCAGAGAAAUUUACAAAAAAAAAAAAACUCUGGCAAUUACAGAUUCCUCCUAAAAUAAAAAUUGCAAACUGACGAAUACUAGAUAAUUACAUCCUUACGGCCUAUA